This 604-nucleotide ribosomal RNA is filed under the name Staphylococcus aureus. RNAcentral describes it as "partial 23S ribosomal RNA". It matches the Rfam family "Bacterial large subunit ribosomal RNA", at positions 1603 to 2208 of the family's 2925-position model. The record is from RNAcentral. Lineage: Bacteria; Bacillati; Bacillota; Bacilli; Caryophanales; Staphylococcaceae.
CACUGCCGAGAAAAGCCUCUAGAUAGAAAAUAGGUGCCCGUACCGCAAACCGACACAGGUAGUCAAGAUGAGAAUUCUAAGGUGAGCGAGCGAACUCUCGUUAAGGAACUCGGCAAAAUGACCCCGUAACUUCGGGAGAAGGGGUGCUCUUUAGGGUUAACGCCCAGAAGAGCCGCAGUGAAUAGGCCCAAGCGACUGUUUAUCAAAAACACAGGUCUCUGCUAAACCGUAAGGUGAUGUAUAGGGGCUGACGCCUGCCCGGUGCUGGAAGGUUAAGAGGAGUGGUUAGCUUCUGCGAAGCUACGAAUCGAAGCCCCAGUAAACGGCGGCCGUAACUAUAACGGUCCUAAGGUAGCGAAAUUCCUUGUCGGGUAAGUUCCGACCCGCACGAAAGGCGUAACGAUUUGGGCACUGUCUCAACGAGAGACUCGGUGAAAUCAUAGUACCUGUGAAGAUGCAGGUUACCCGCGACAGGACGGAAAGACCCCGUGGAGCUUUACUGUAGCCUGAUAUUGAAAUUCGGCACAGCUUGUACAGGAUAGGUAGGAGCCUUUGAAACGUGAGCGCUAGCUUACGUGGAGGCGCUGGUGGGAUACUACCCUAG